Molecule: ribosomal RNA, 468 nt
Filed under: uncultured bacterium
Lineage: Bacteria
Description: partial 16S ribosomal RNA
Rfam family: Bacterial small subunit ribosomal RNA
Source: RNAcentral
GACGAACUCUGGCGGCGGGCUUAACACAUGCAAGUCGAACGGAAAGGCCCUGCUUUUGUGGGGUGCUCGAGUGGCGAACGGGUGAGUAACACGUGAGUAACCUGCCCUGGACUUUGGGAUAACUUCAGGAAACUGGGGCUAAUACCGGAUAGGGGCUCCUGCUGCAUGGUGGGGGUUGGAAAGUUUCGGCGGUUGGGGAUGGACUCGCGGCUUAUCAGCUUGUUGGUGGGGUAGUGGCUUACCAAGGCUUUGACGGGUAGCCGGCCUGAGAGGGUGACCGGCCACAUUGGGACUGAGAUACGGCCCAGACUCCUACGGGAGGCAGCAGUGGGGAAUAUUGCACACUGGGCGGAAGCCUGAUGCAGCAACGCCGCGUGCGGGAUGACGGCCUUCGGGUUGUAAACCGCUUUCGCCUGUGACGAAGCGUGAGUGACGGUAAUGGGUAAAGAAGCACCGGCUAACUACGUG